UACGUAGGGGGCAAGCGUUGUCCGGAAUCAUUGGGCGUAAAGAGCGCGUAGGCGGCCCAGUAAGUCCGCUCUGAAAGUCAGGGGCUCAACCCCUGAAUGCGGGUGGAUACUGCUGGGCUAGAGUCCGGAAGAGGCGAGUGGAAUUCCUGGUGUAGCGGUGAAAUGCGCAGAUAUCAGGAGGAACACCAAUGGCGAAGGCAGCUCGCUGGGACGGUACUGACGCUGAGGCGCGAAAGCGUGGGGAGCGAACAGG
Molecule: ribosomal RNA, 253 nt
Filed under: uncultured bacterium
Lineage: Bacteria
Description: partial 16S ribosomal RNA
Rfam family: Bacterial small subunit ribosomal RNA
Source: RNAcentral